Molecule: ribosomal RNA, 507 nt
Filed under: uncultured bacterium
Lineage: Bacteria
Description: bacterial SSU rRNA
Rfam family: Bacterial small subunit ribosomal RNA
Source: RNAcentral
CGGCGGUGCCUAAUACAUGCAAGUCGAACGGUCUUUCUAUGGAAGCUUGCUUCCACUGAGAAGAUAGUGGCGAACGGGUGAGUAACACGUGGGUAACCUGCCCAUAAGAGGGGGAUAACAUCCGGAAACGGGUGCUAAUACCGCAUAGUUUUCUUGAUCGCAUGAUUGAGAAAGGAAAGACGGCCUUUGUGCUGUCGCUUAUGGAUGGACCCGCGGCGUAUUAGUUAGUUGGUGAGGUAACGGCUCACCAAGACGAUGAUACGUAGCCGACCUGAGAGGGUGAUCGGCCACAUUGGGACUGAGACACGGCCCAAACUCCUACGGGAGGCAGCAGUAGGGAAUCUUCCGCAAUGGACGAAAGUCUGACGGAGCAACGCCGCGUGAGUGAAGAAGGUAUUUCCGGAUCGUAAAACUCUGUUGUCAGAGAAGAACAAGUUGGAGAGUAACUGCUCCAGCCUUGACGGUAUCUGACCAGAAAGCCACGGCUAACUACGUGCCAGCAGCUGC